UACGGGGGGGGCAAGCGUUGUUCGGAAUUACUGGGCGUAAAGGGCUCGUAGGCGGCCAACUAAGUCGGACGUGAAAGCCCCGGGCUCAACCUGGGAAUUGCAUUCGAGACUGAAUAGCUAGGGUACGGUAGAGGGAAGCGGAAUUUCCGGUGUAGCGGUGAAAUGCGUAGAUAUCGGAAGGAACAUCAGUGGCGAAAGCGGCUUCCUGGACCAGUACCGACGUUCAGGCACGAAAGCGUGGGGAGCAAACAGG
Molecule: ribosomal RNA, 253 nt
Filed under: uncultured bacterium
Lineage: Bacteria
Description: partial 16S ribosomal RNA
Rfam family: Bacterial small subunit ribosomal RNA
Source: RNAcentral